UGGCACAUAUGUGGUGUUGGUCCUGUGU
RNAcentral lists this non-coding RNA (28 nucleotides) under Mus musculus (house mouse). The record is from RNAcentral. Lineage: Eukaryota; Metazoa; Chordata; Mammalia; Rodentia; Muridae.